AUUGAACGCUGGCGGAAUGCUUUACACAUGCAAGUCGAACGGCAGCACGGACUUCGGUCUGGUGGCGAGUGGCGAACGGGUGAGUAAUGUAUCGGAACGUGCCCAGUCGUGGGGGAUAACGUAGUGAAAAUUACGCUAAUACCGCAUACGAUCUAUGGAUGAAAGCGGGGGAUCGCAAGACCUCGCGCGAUUGGAGCGGCCGAUAUCAGAUGAGGUAGUUGGUGGGGUAAAGGCCCACCAAGCCAACGAUCUGUAGCUGGUCUGAGAGGACGACCAGCCCAACGGGAACUGUGAGACGGUCCAGACUCCGACGGGAGGCAGCAGUGGGGAAUUUUGGACAAUGGGCGAAAGCCUGAUUCAGCCAUUCCGCGUGCAGGAUGAAGGCCCUCGGGUUGUAAACUGCUUUUGUACAGAACGAAAAGGUUUCUACUAAUACUAGGAGCUCAUGACGGUACUGUAAGAAUAAGCACCGGCUAACUACGUGCCAGCCGCCGCCGUAA
Molecule: ribosomal RNA, 500 nt
Filed under: uncultured bacterium
Lineage: Bacteria
Description: partial 16S ribosomal RNA
Rfam family: Bacterial small subunit ribosomal RNA
Source: RNAcentral